Molecule: ribosomal RNA, 383 nt
Filed under: uncultured Pseudomonas sp.
Lineage: Bacteria; Pseudomonadati; Pseudomonadota; Gammaproteobacteria; Pseudomonadales; Pseudomonadaceae
Description: bacterial SSU rRNA
Rfam family: Bacterial small subunit ribosomal RNA
Source: RNAcentral
AGAGAUGGAUUGGUGCCUUCGGGAACUCUGACACAGGUGCUGCAUGGCUGUCGUCAGCUCGUGUCGUGAGAUGGUUGGGUUAAGUCCCGUAACGAGCGCAACCCUUGUCCUUAGUUACCAGCACGUUAUGGUGGGCACUCUAAGGAGACUGCCGGUGACAAACCGGAGGAAGGUGGGGAUGACGUCAAGUCAUCAUGGCCCUUACGGCCUGGGCUACACACGUGCUACAAUGGUCGGUACAAAGGGUUGCCAAGCCGCGAGGUGGAGCUAAUCCCAAUAAAACCGAUCGUAGUCCGGAUCGCAGUCUGCAACUCGACUGCGUGAAGUCGGAAUCGCUAGUAAUCGUGAAUCAGAAUGUCACGGUGAAUACGUUCCCGGGCCUU